UGAGGCUGAGGUAGUAGAUUGAAUAGUUGUGGAGUCCGAUCCUCCCUUUGAGCAAACUAUACAAUCUACUGUCUUUCCUAA
Molecule: non-coding RNA, 81 nt
Organism: Columba livia (rock pigeon)
Lineage: Eukaryota; Metazoa; Chordata; Aves; Columbiformes; Columbidae
Source: Rfam